CCUACGGGUGGCUGCAGUGGGGAAUAUUGGACAAUGGGGGAAACCCUGAUCCAGCAAUGCCGCGUGUGUGAAGAAGGCCUGCGGGUUGUAAAGCCCUUUCGGUUGGGAAGAAAAGUUUGGCGCCAAUACCGCCGAACCUUGACGUUACUGACAGAAGAAGCACCGGCUAACUCUGUGCCAGCCGCCGCGGUAAUACAGAGGGUGCCAGCGUUCAUCGGGAUCACGUAGCGUAUCACGUGCGUAGGGGGUGAAAUCCCCGGGCUUAACCUGGGAACUGCAUUCGAUACUACAUGGCUAGAGUAUGGUAGAGGGAAGUGGAAUUUCCGGUGUAGCGGUGAAAUGCGUAGAUAUCGGAAGGAACACCAAUGGCGAAGGCAGCUUCCUGGACUAAUACUGACACUGAGGCACGAAAGCGUGGGUAGCAAACAGGAUUAGAUACCCUGGUAGUC
Molecule: ribosomal RNA, 449 nt
Filed under: uncultured bacterium
Lineage: Bacteria
Description: partial 16S ribosomal RNA
Rfam family: Bacterial small subunit ribosomal RNA
Source: RNAcentral